UACGGGGGGGGCAAGCGUUGUUCGGAAUUACUGGGCGUAAAGAGCGCGCAGGCGGUCGUUCAAGUCGAGUGUGAAAGCCCCCGGCUCAACUGGGGAGGGUCACUCGAUACUGAUCGACUUGAAGGCAGGAGAGGGAAGCGGAAUUCCCGGUGUAGUGGUGAAAUGCGUAGAUAUCGGGAGGAACACCAGUGGCGAAGGCGGCUUCCUGGCCUGCUCUUGACGCUGAGGCGCGAAAGCUAGGGUAGCAAACGGG
Molecule: ribosomal RNA, 253 nt
Filed under: uncultured bacterium
Lineage: Bacteria
Description: partial 16S ribosomal RNA
Rfam family: Bacterial small subunit ribosomal RNA
Source: RNAcentral